Molecule: transfer RNA, 70 nt
Filed under: Pronothobranchius seymouri
Lineage: Eukaryota; Metazoa; Chordata; Actinopteri; Cyprinodontiformes; Nothobranchiidae
Description: tRNA-Ser
Rfam family: tRNA
About the family: Transfer RNA (tRNA) molecules are approximately 80 nucleotides in length.
Source: RNAcentral
AAGAAAGUGACAGACUGGUAUGUGGCUGGAUUGAAACCAGCUUAAGGGGGUUCAAUUCCUUCCUUUCUCG